CAGUCGCCGCGGUAACACGAAGGGUGCAAGCGUUACUCGGAAUUACUGGGCGUAAAGCGUGCGUAGGUGGUGGUUUAAGUCCGUUGUGAAAGCCCUGGGCUCAACCUGGGAAUUGCAGUGGAUACUGGAUCACUAGAGUGUGGUAGAGGAUAGUGGAAUUUCCGGUGUAGCAGUGAAAUGCGUAGAGAUCGGAAGGAACAUCUGUGGCGAAGGCGACUAUCUGGGCCAACACUGACACUGAGGCACGAAAGCGUGGGGAGCAAACAGGAUUAGAUACCCGCGUAGUCCCUGUCUCUUAUAA
This 301-nucleotide ribosomal RNA is filed under the name uncultured bacterium. RNAcentral describes it as "partial 16S ribosomal RNA". It matches the Rfam family "Bacterial small subunit ribosomal RNA", at positions 509 to 809 of the family's 1533-position model. The record is from RNAcentral.